Molecule: long non-coding RNA, 6288 nt
Filed under: Sus scrofa (pig)
Lineage: Eukaryota; Metazoa; Chordata; Mammalia; Artiodactyla; Suidae
Description: lncRNA (ENSSSCG00065008506.1)
Source: RNAcentral
UUUUUGGGUCUUUCUAGGGCCAUAUCUGAGGCAUAUGGAGGUUCCCGGGCUAGGGGUCGAAUCAGAGGUACAGCUGCCAGCCUACACCACAGCCACAGCAACUCGGGAUCCCCACCCACUGAAUAAGGCCAGGGAUUGAACCCACAUCCUCAUGGAUACCAGUCAGAUUCGUUUCGGCUGUGCCACGACAGCAUCGGAACUCCCCCUAUUGGGUUUCUGAUAGUUUCUUCAUCUUGGAAUAAGCCCUUCCGGGACAUAGUCUGGGAUGACUUACUGGGGGAUGACAUUUUUGUCUUUUCCUUUAGAUCUAUCUGUCCCCUUGCCUCUACACGCUGCACUCCUAGGACCAGCAAACACCCAGAGACCAAACUCUCCCUCAGAACUUGAUAUCCUUGCCAUACCCAAUGCCGGGAGUCUCUUAAUCGGAUAGAAAUCCCUGGUGAAAGACUUCAUACUCCAGUGUUAGGGAAUGGUCUCCCCUUUGCAUAAAAAAAGGUACAAUUAGAUAGAAAAAAAUAGACAAUGUUUAGAUUACUCGCUUACCAAAAGCCAUGAAGAAAAAAGACAUCAGAAGUCUUACUGAAAAGAGAUCCCUGCAGAAAAAUGUAACUGAUGUGUGUUUAUGGUUCAGUAAACAGUCAAUUCCUUAUUCCAUUACAGGGAUAUGUACAAUGUUUAAAGUCUCCAUUUGUACCCAUUCUCUUUAUCCUCUUAUUGCAUCAUGGAGUCAGCUUGGGGCCACCAAGAAAAAGUCCACCUUUCAACACUCGCAAGGCCAUCUCCAACCUACCUUUUAAUCCUCUCACUGUGCUUUACUUCACACCUUUAUUUUAACACUUAUCACCUCAUUAUGCAUGAAUCAUCUGACUCCCUCCACCACUAAGACGCUUGAGUGCUUCAAGGAUAGAAACCACUUAAAUUUUCAUUGUACGCCUUCUACUUCUUAAAUGUUUGUGGAAUGAACAGACCUAAAAAGAAUCAAGGGUUUGAUUCCACCUAAAUGACAACCCUCCAAGUUGGAAAGUAACUGCUCAUUCUUUAUCCUGACAAUUUUUCCAGAACCCCCAAGUGGCUGAUUCCUAUUUGGAGAACAUGUUAGAUGCCUCUGGAAAAUGCAGUCAUCCUCCUGCCAAGGCAGUCUAAUAUCCUGAGCUAAGGAUGAUGUCCUGGUUCCACCAUGGUGGGGAUUCUGCUAGAGAAAAGGAUCUUGGAGUUAAGGUGAUGCUGAAACGGUGCUAUUUCAAGAACUGCAGGUCCUAUAUUUGGUGAUGACAAAUGGAACUGAACUUCCCAGUCCACUGCCCUCUUUGCGUGGGCUAUCACUUUUAAGAAGCCUUGCCAUCACGCAGAUGGUAGGCAAGUAUGAACCCGGAACGUGCCUCAGCCUGGGGCUUCAAGUGUUACCUGGAUUAUGUCCACAAAGAGGAGGAAAGUACUCCAUGCCUGAGUUUGAGACAUGUCCAUGAGCACUCCACACAGUUCUCAGGAAAUCUGGGGUUGGGGGUGGGGAGUGGGUAUCAAGAUGGUCUAAUCCUCAAACACUCAUUAAAGAAAAACCUGUGACUAGAAAUUGAACUGACUUUGGCCCCAUAUAACCUGGAUCAUGUGGACAAAGAAUGCCAGUUGUGGGAUUAAACUGUCGGAGCUCAUGUGGUUAAGAUGAGGACAGUCCAAAGGGAAAGUACAGCUGUGUAUUAUGAUGGUCUCUGCAAUGGACUGUGUCACCCCUACCCCCACCCCUCUCUAAUUGAUAUAUUGAAGCCUUAACCCUCCAGUGUGACGGUAUCAGGAAGGGGCCUUUGGGAGAUAGCCAGGUCUUGAGGGUAAAGCCCCCAUGAUGGGGUCAGUCCCUUUUAGGGAACCCAGGAAGCUCUCUCACCCUCUGUCCACCACGGAAGGAUGCAAUGAAAAAUGGCUUUGCCACCAAGAAGGAGGCUCUCAUCAGAAUGCAACCAUGCAGGCAUCCUUCAGUCUCUGGAACUAUGAGGAAUGAAGUGUUGCUUUUUUAUUUAUUUAUUUAUUUAUUUAAUUUUAUUUUAGGGCCGCAUCCACAGCAUAUGGAAGUUCCCAGGCUAGGGAUUAAAUCGGAGCUGUAGCUGCCGGCCUACACCAGAGUCCCAGCAAUGCAGGAUCCAAGCCACUUCUGUGACCUACACCACAGCUCACGGCAAGGCCAGAUCCUUAACCCACUGAGUGAGGCCAGGGGUUGAACCUGUAUCCUUGUGGAUGCUAGUCAGAUUUGUUAACAACUGAGCCACAAUGGGAACUAGUGCUGCUUUUUAACAGCUACUAAGUCUGUGAAACUCUGUUACAGCCGUAUGGAUGGACUAAUAAGGCUUAUCCAGGCUACAGGGCCCAGGGUGUACUUUGCAGAGGGGGGGCAAGAGCUUGUACUCAGAGACGUGAAUGCCUAUGCUCCAUCAUCCAGAGGCAGAAAAGGAGCUAAGCUUCUGACUGGGAAGGGAUUCCUCCUCCUCAGUGGCACAAGGACACAUGGGUGCAGUCAGGAGGUAAAUGGCAUCGCCAGGACCCAUCCCACCUGGGGAUGCUGUGGUCCUCAGCUGCUGUAUCCCAACACAAGGCUAUGGAGAACUGGCCUGGGACCCACGAAUGGCUAGCAGUCAGCUUUGAGAGCAGCUGUACACCCCGUCCUCAUGGAGUUUUCCAAGUCUAAACAAUGAUCAACGUUAUGGUAACAGAAGGUGGGGUCCUGUCCACUACCUGGAGUGGCCCAGAUCGCAAAUGAUGCUGGGCAUAUCAGCAUCAACAGAGACCUGGGGACCAGAGGGGUCUAAGGGCAAGUGAUGGAGGACGCACUGUAUGGCCCAUAUCCAGCUCUCCAUAACGCACAGACUAACCCUGAGUGGACUGACCUCCAGCAGCUAAGAAGAGGGAAGUCUUCUGCUGGGAUGUGCUGAACAUAGAAAGCAGCAGAAUUUGAGCUACUGGUGAAGGUGACAGUAUUACCUGUAUCUCUCUAUCUUCAGGCUUGAAGACAAAGACUUUUACAUUACGGCUGCUGGGAUUUAGAAUUACUUUAAGUAUAUGAAAUAAUAGUCUAUUAUCUCUGAGGAGUUAUUCUAAGGAAAUAAUUCAGCUCCUGGAAAUUGCGAGGCUCUCCUCAGCCCAGAAAAAAAAUUUGCUUACAAACGUUUUCUUUUCUUAGGGACAAAACUAUUUUGUAGCCAAGGUUCUCUCUUAUAUAUAAGCAUUUAAAUAAGAAGUUUUAGGUUAAAGUGGAUCCUGACUAUUUUCCUUGUGCUUAUGUUAAUAGUGGGCUAAGCAAACAAUUACUGCAUUGCUCAGUCUUCAGGUUGAAACAGCAGAUGUAACACUGGAAAGGAAGGGAUUCCCUUCGGCUUCUGAUAUAAUAAUGCAAGGUAGAAAAUUGCUUUUCUUUAAUGUAGCCCCAAAUACUAUAUAUCAACAUAUUAUCAAGUGAAAGAAUCUUUUAUGUUGCACUUUGAGAAAUUUUUAAUAUUCAUGCAGAAAUAAAAAAUGCUUAGAGUUAGAAAAAGAUAGAUGUAACAUAAAAAAUUUCUCCAGGAUGCAGCACAGUUUCCAAGUGUCAUUAAAAUGACAAAGCAGGUAAUACUGAUCUUAGAAUUGAAGAGAAGUAAGGGAAAUAUCAUGGUUAGAGGGGGCGACGUUAACAUGAUAUUAACACCAUUUUGCCUUUAAGGCAGGUAACUUAUUGAUAUCUCUAGAUUUUUUUUUUUAAAGACAAAACCAAUCAACUGCUUCCAAACACAAAAGAGCACUAUGAAGAUCCAACAACUAAAUGUUAAUAAAAAAGACGACAUUUCCCCUAACUCUAAAGUCUGGCAUUCUGUUGGUUUCCCUAAGGCACUGCAUCAGUGAACAGAUUUGAGUUUUAUUGGCUAAAGGGAACUAUUCUCUGUAAAUACAGGCAUUUAAACUUAUAAAAGGUACUUAGAAAACAGAGAAAGGAUGCCCCAAAUUACACGCAUUGUGGAACUAUUAAAAAAAAAAAAAACUAUUGCAAAAGCUAUCCUGUAGCUUAUAAAUGUUCUAUGACAUUUAUCUAGUUGGAAACAGCUUCACAUUUCCCCUGAUUCUCUCAUUUAAUUGCGGACUUGGCAGGGGGGAGAAAGUAAAUAAUGGGGAAAAGUAAUUAAAGUACAGGGGAUAAAGAGUGAAGCAUGUAAGAGCAGCUUGAAAGCAGGAGACUAUUUAUAAUUACAGGGUAGAGACAAUGACCGGUAGAGAAGGGAGGGAAGCACAAAAAAUUUCAAAGUAAAAUGAAAGGUAAAUAAAUAAGAAAUGACUGGUUUUUAUUUUAUUUUAUUUUAUUUUAUUUUACUUCACUUCACUUCACUUCACUUUACUUUUGUCUUUUUAGGGCCACACCUGUGGCACAUGGAAGUUCUCAGGCUAGGAGUCAAAUUGGAGCUGUAGCUGCUGGCCUGCAUCACAGCCACAGCAAUGCCAGAUCCGAGCCAUGUCUGCGACCUACACUACAACUCAUGGCAACACCAGAUCCUUAACCCUCUGAAGGCCAGGGAUAGAACCUGCAUCCUCAUGGAUACUAGUUGAAUUUGUUACCACUGAGCCACAACAGGAACUCCUGUUUAUUUUUUAAAAAGGACAACACAUAAAAUCUCUAAGGUAGGAAAAAUCUUGAAAGUUGAUGCUGUUCUUUAAGUAAAAAUGCAUUUAAAUUUUGGCACAGCUACAGCUGUUCCAAAGAGGCUUGACUGGGGAGUCUAAGUUUCUCACCUUCUUGAGAGAGGGUUCCCCCUCAUGACAAGGUUGAAAUGCUUGCUACAACUUUUAGAAACAGAAUCAAAUCCUCACAAGGUACAAAGAAAAAUUUUUUUUAAAAAGUCCUGCAUUGGAGUUUCCGUAGUGGCACAGUGGUUAACGAAUCCGACUAGGAACCACGAGGGUGCGGGUUCAAUCCCUGGCCUUGCUCAGUGGGUUAAGGAUCCAGUGUUGCUGUGACCUGUGGUGUAGGUCGCAGACGCAGCUCGGAUCCCGCGUUUCUGUGGCUCUGGCAUAGGCUGGUGGCUACAGCUCCGAAUAGACUCCUAGCCUGGGAACCUCCAUAUGCCACCAGAGCAGCCCUAGAAAAGGCAAAAAGACAAAAAAAUUAAAAAAAAAAUAAAUAAAUAGUCCUGCAUUUUUCACUAAGACCAAAAUCCUUGCUACUUAUGUGUGGUCUUUGACCCUGGCAAAUUGGGAAUCACCUAAGAGCUUGUUUAAAAUGAAUCAUCUCAGGCCCUAAACUCCCGAGUCUGAAUCUGCAUUUACCAAGAUGCUGGGUUCCUACGAUCCUUAGUUUAAGACACACCAGUCUAAGUAACUGUUAUACGAGAUAAACCGAGUUUCUUUAGGUAUCAUUUAUGACAACUUUCCCUUGUGGUUUGUAUAACUGAAUGACUUUAAUUUCCACUUUUAUUAAGUAUUACUAGUUACUAUAAUUGUACAUGUUUGUCACUGGCAUUAAAAAUUAUGGAAGAAACCGAAUUCAAAGUUAAGAAAAAGUAAACAGACUCCUCUUAAAAUGCAUUUGCGUAGAAACUAUCUCUGGCUUUCAUCAGCACUGAAUGAAAGAGAAACAUGUAGCAGAGUUUCUUCAAGACAAAACAGGAGGCUCUGAUGAUGCUGGUACUGUGUCCUAGAAUUUGAACUUUAUGAUAAUAAGGCCUUGCACAGGAAAAGCCCUGUGGCAUUUCACCUUGUCUUGCUGAGUGCUGAUUGGAGUUAUUCUUUCAAGGAAUCGUUACUCUCAGUAUUUCUAUUACGUUUUCUCAGAAAAUGUUAACGGUCAUUUCACUUUCCUACAGAAAAAAUAUCCCACCAUUUAAUGAGUCAGGGACAUAUCAUUCGGUUUGGUUUCUGUCUGGAGGAGGCAAAGAUUAAAACCAAAGUUUUAACCCAGGAUGUGUUGGGGAGUAGAGGAACUGAUCCGGAGCCAUGGCUGUGGGGAAGAUGAGCACUGGCAGGAAUCCUACGUUAGUACCGAGAUGCUUUCAAGGAGGAAGGCAAAUGAUGGAGCUCAGGUUAGUGACUGUGGAGCCAAGAGAGAAACCCAGGAGCCCUAACUUCAAGGAUUCCCCAUUUCAUUUGGUUUUCCCCAAACCAAAUUUAGAGGGUGAUGAACAGGCCUUGAGGACUUUGGAAAUUAGAUGGAUGGAUCAUCUAAUUUCAAGAAAUGUAGUGAAAGCUUCCAUCUGUCUCAAAUAAGUAUUUCAUCUCGCAUUUUUCUCCUGCCCAUUAAUUUCUCCUUUACAUGCCAAGCAUGAAGUUUGAGGCUAGAAUAUG